CUGGUAAUUAGUUUAAUAAAAACAA
This 25-nucleotide transfer RNA is filed under the name Peromyscus eremicus (cactus mouse). Its description in RNAcentral is "partial tRNA-Arg". RNAcentral also lists the same sequence under 1 other name. The record is from RNAcentral. Lineage: Eukaryota; Metazoa; Chordata; Mammalia; Rodentia; Cricetidae.